Molecule: ribosomal RNA, 216 nt
Filed under: uncultured bacterium
Lineage: Bacteria
Description: partial 16S ribosomal RNA
Rfam family: Bacterial small subunit ribosomal RNA
Source: RNAcentral
GACAAACGCUGGCGGCGUACUUAAGACAUGCAAGUCGAACGGGUGUCCUGCUUUCGGGUGGGAUGCUAGUGGCGGAUGGGUGAGUAACGCGUAGGAACCUGUCGUUAAGUGGGGGAGUACCGCUGGGAACCGGACGCUAAUACCGCAUGUGGUCGGAGCGAUCGAAGAAAGACAGCACUGCGCUUGAUGAGGGGCCGUGCGUCCGAUUAGCUAGUU